Molecule: ribosomal RNA, 924 nt
Filed under: uncultured bacterium
Lineage: Bacteria
Description: bacterial SSU rRNA
Rfam family: Bacterial small subunit ribosomal RNA
Source: RNAcentral
AGAGUUUGAUCAUGGCUCAGGAUGAACGCUGGCGGCGUGCCUAAUACAUGCAAGUCGAACGAACUUCCGUUAAUUGAUUAUGACGUACUUGUACUGAUUGAGAUUUUAACACGAAGUUAGUGGCGAACGGGUGAGUAACACGUGGGUAACCUGCCCAGAAGUAGGGGAUAACACCUGGAAACAGAUGCUAAUACCGUAUAACAGAGAAAACCGCAUGGUUUUCUUUUAAAAGAUGGCUCUGCUAUCACUUCUGGAUGGACCCGCGGCGUAUUAGCUAGUUGGUGAGGUAAAGGCUCACCAAGGCAGUGAUACGUAGCCGACCUGAGAGGGUAAUCGGCCACAUUGGGACUGAGACACGGCCCAGACUCCUACGGGAGGCAGCAGUAGGGAAUCUUCCACAAUGGACGCAAGUCUGAUGGAGCAACGCCGCGUGAGUGAAGAAGGGUUUCGGCUCGUAAAGCUCUGUUGUUAAAGAAGAACGUGGGUAAGAGUAACUGUUUACCCAGUGACGGUAUUUAACCAGAAAGCCACGGCUAACUACGUGCCAGCAGCCGCGGUAAUACGUAGGUGGCAAGCGUUAUCCGGAUUUAUUGGGCGUAAAGCGAGCGCAGGCGGUCUUUUAAGUCUAAUGUGAAAGCCUUCGGCUCAACCGAAGAAGUGCAUUGGAAACUGGGAGACUUGAGUGCAGAAGAGGACAGUGGAACUCCAUGUGUAGCGGUGAAAUGCGUAGAUAUAUGGAAGAACACCAGUGGCGAAGGCGGCUGUCUGGUCUGCAACUGACGCUGAGGCUCGAAAGCAUGGGUAGCGAACAGGAUUAGAUACCCUGGUAGUCCAUGCCGUAAACGAUGAUUACUAAGUGUUGGAGGGUUUCCGCCCUUCAGUGCUGCAGCUAACGCAUUAAGUAAUCCGCCUGGGGAGUACGAC